UAUAGAUAUUUGUUUCUAACCCAUGCUCCAGAUUUGCUACAAGAGCUUAACUUGUCUUCCAACCUGUUGGAGUCAGUGUCUGACACCAUUGGACUGCUGCAAAAUAAGGUUGUAGGUGUCUUUGGCAACAAGCUUGCUGCUCUUCUCGACUCUUAUUUGGUAACAAGAUCCUCUAGUUUUGUCUUCAUAUGGUUUAUUUAGGAGACUUCAAUCUUGUUCUUUUCUUUUGCUAUUGUAUAUGGAGAAGUUUAGGCCAUAUGUCCCCUUCUCCCUACUCUUUG
RNAcentral lists this long non-coding RNA (281 nucleotides) under Rosa chinensis. Its description in RNAcentral is "sRNA RchiOBHm_Chr1g0348601". The record is from RNAcentral. Lineage: Eukaryota; Viridiplantae; Streptophyta; Magnoliopsida; Rosales; Rosaceae.